This 725-nucleotide unclassified non-coding RNA is filed under the name Hevea brasiliensis (rubber tree). The record is from RNAcentral. Lineage: Eukaryota; Viridiplantae; Streptophyta; Magnoliopsida; Malpighiales; Euphorbiaceae.
UUUUUUUUUUUUUAAAAAAAAGAUUCUGCAUUCUGUAAAGCUUAUGUGCAAGUUUGAAGUCAAAUGAUCUGCAUUGCUUGAAUUUUUAUGGAAAGUACUCUACUAUAACCAUAUAUAGUUAUAAGCUGACUGAAUAGUAUGUACAUUUGUUCUUUGCUUGAAACUUCUUGAAGGUUUUCCUUGGGUGGUUGAAAAUAGUUCAUUGACUGAUAAAAAUUUGUUAUUAAUAUAUUAAUCAGUUUUCUUGGUUAGAAUAAAUUGUUGAAAGUUUCCUUGAGUGCACCAAUUUGCAUGUACUAUGGAACAUUGACUAAUAUUGCUUUGGCUAGUGAUUGCUUUGUUUCCCCUUCUGAUGUUGGGAUGGUAAAACUGAAUGAAGUCAUAUUUCAUUAAUUCUUUUACAUUGGUUUUUAACAUCAUACUGUGUUUGCAUAUGUCUAACAUAGUUUUUGGUUCAAUUCAACUACAAAUUAGAAUUUUGGAAGUUAUUUGAAAUGAAUUUUAAAUAGAAUUCAUUUGAAAUGAAUUUCACUAUUUGGUAUGAUACAACUUAAAUUGUAAAAUUUAAUUGAAUUUCAUAUAAUUCAUGUUUCAUAUAAUUCUAGAUUUGAAAUUUGUUUGUUCUCAUUUUCUAAACUACCCUCAAUAAAACUCUAAACCUAAUAAAACUCUUAAUUCUAUUAAAACAUUAAAACUAUUAAUAAAAUUCUAAACCUAAUAAAACU